This 241-nucleotide ribosomal RNA is filed under the name uncultured bacterium. RNAcentral's name for it is "partial 16S ribosomal RNA". It matches the Rfam family "Bacterial small subunit ribosomal RNA", at positions 524 to 767 of the family's 1533-position model. The record is from RNAcentral.
UACGUAGGGUGCAAGCGUUGUCCGGAAUUAUUGGGCGUAAAGAGCUCGUAGGCGGCUUGUCGCGUCGGCUGUGAAAACCCGGGGCUCAACCCCGGGCCUGCAGUCGAUACGGGCAGGCUAGAGUCCGGCAGGGGGAGACUGGAAUUCCUGGUGUAGCGGUGAAAUGCGCAGAUAUCAGGAGGAACACCGAUGGCGAAGGCAGAUCUCUGGGCCGUAACUGACGCUGAGGGAAGCUGGGAAA